CAUGAUGAGUCUGAUAUUGAUAUUGAUGUAGACGCUGUCAAAAAACAACAACAGAUACUGCGUUUAUUGAAAAGCCCGAACUUGAUGUGGCAGAAGCUGAUAAACAAAACAAAUUUAAGGUUGACUUUUUAGAAAUGUUUAAGCACAAAUUUAAUUAAUAAUUAUUAUUAUAAAAAAGAGUUAUGGAGAUAAAUAACCAAUAAUUUGAUGUUCUACAGGUUGGGAAGUUAUUUUCGAGACCCCGAGGAAGUGUGAGGUGUAUGGAAUCAGCUGUGAAGGAUCUGGAAAGCAGGUGUUUUACCUCGCAGACGAAGGCCAGUCACAUGGUAAAGGUGCAAAUGCUGUGGUCAGCCAGGUUCACCACUACCUCAACACAUACGGCGAACAGCAUGCUCACUUUCAGUGUGACAACUGUUGCGGCCAAAAUAAAAACAACAUAGUCAUCUGGUACCUUCUGUGGAGAGUUCUUGUAGAAACUUCAAUGCAGAAAUGUUGUCUGAUGUCGCUGCGUCUGUGGGGUUAUCGUCAAGGACAGGCCACAACAUCCCCCAGCUUGUGGGGGACACUUCCAAUCCUGUUGUUAUCAAAGACAGGAAGGAUUACCUUUCGACAUUGUUUCACCACAUAAAGAAUGUAACCAAAUUUCAUCAAUUUCCAUGUGUCAGCGGAUCAUCCCGGUGUUGUGGAGU
Molecule: long non-coding RNA, 689 nt
Organism: Dreissena polymorpha
Lineage: Eukaryota; Metazoa; Mollusca; Bivalvia; Myida; Dreissenidae
Exons: 3
Source: RefSeq, a predicted model, not a curated record